RNAcentral lists this long non-coding RNA (19584 nucleotides) under Phoenix dactylifera (date palm). RNAcentral's name for it is "long non-coding RNA (PDAC_LNC005435)". Lineage: Eukaryota; Viridiplantae; Streptophyta; Magnoliopsida; Arecales; Arecaceae. The record is from RNAcentral.
GUUUGAGCUGUAGAAAGUAUUUGCUUUGAUUAUUGUCAUAAUAGUAAUAUACCAAAUAAGUUUUGCAUCAUUACUUAAUUUGUUGAUAAAUAGCCAAAAGUUCUACAUAUACUUUAUAAUAACAAAUUAAAAAACAAUAAUAUUAUGAAUCAAAUUUACUAGUCUAACAAAAAUUUUCUUUGUAUAGUUUUGCUAAUCUUUGUUUCAAGUUCAAAAUAUUGUAAAAAAUAAAAUGUUAUAAUACCAUCAAGAUGCUAAAAUAAGACAUUUUCAUCAAACACAUGAUUUUAAUUGUGGGGCAAUUAAAUAUAAAUUCGAUCAAACUUUAGAUAUAAGGUGAUCAAUACAAUGAAGGGACCAAAAUCAUUUUUAUAUUAUACAUAGAUAGGCUAGGACUUAAUGAUGUAAUGUCGCCCCCUAUUGGUAAUCCUAGAUCCGUCCCCAAUCACCUCAUUUUUAUAAAUGAUUAUAGUGAUAAAAGGAGAUGGAUGUCCCCAAUAUCUCUUAGACUUUUUAUUAGAUAAAUUUAAUCUCUUUUCUAACGAAAGGAGAUAGACUCAAAAUCUAUUGGGCUCUGCUUGUGUAGGUUUAAAUCUUGCUAUGGAUGGAUUUCUAAUCUCUUUCUAAUGUGAUUAUAUAUUGCAUAAUUUUCAAGGAUGCCAACAUAUCUGAUUCUGGUUGACAAUAUCUGGUAUAUGGAUAAAAGAAACAACCGAAGAAUUGCUUCAUUAGAUGGAUUAGUAUAGCAAUUGAAUGGGAUUUUUCAACAACAUUUGCAUUUGGGAUAUCAAAAUUUAUUUGAAAGAUAAAUUGCGAUCACAAGUUUUAGUAAUCCAUCCUAGAUUAAUUCCUUCUUCUACUUUUAAUCCUAGCCGAAUAGAAAACUUAUGUUAUACCCUAGUUGUGACUCUAAUAUGCAAUCUCGGUACCUGACCAGAACCGGAUCUAAACUCGCAUAAAUUACCUAGUUUAUCACAUCCAUCCAUCCAUACAUAUGAUCUUAGUUUUAUUUAUAAAUCUUUAAAUUAAAAAAUAAAAAUAAUGAAAUGUUAGAAUAUGUUUGAGUAUUUAUACUUGAUUUUAAGCAAAGUAUACCUUUCCAAUUUUUAGUGCAUGAUCAUUAUAUAGGAUUUGAUACCUUAUGGGUACUUGGACUCAAGGUCCACCCUUCACAAACCCGAUACAUAUAUUUUUACUCGAACUCGAACCCUACCCGAUCCUUAAUGAUCGGUUAUGGAACAAAAGUUAGACCCAAAAUCUUAAUGGGUAUAGGUCUAGGUUAAAAUCUUAACUUAACCCUAUCUUCAACCUACACAUACAAGGCUUAUGCUCCAAAAUUCAAGCUCUCAAGCCCACAUGACUCAUCUUAUGAUAACUUAGGCAACUAAAGUUCUAGUUCCUCCAAAUUUACGUUUGUCUUUUGGGAGCCCCCACCCUCUGGCUAUCUCAAGGUGAAUUUGAUAGCAAUGUAUCGGCAGAUGGAGACAGAGGAGAUAUGGGUUUUGUGAUCAGGGAUCACAACUCCAAGUUGAUUGCCGUGGGAGGCGUCGCAUCUAUGACAUGAUAACUAUUAGGGCGGAGCUCAAGGCAGCGUGGAAGGGUAUCACCUUCGUGAGGCGUAUCCUAGGGGCUGACAAUAUCUUUCUAGAAAGAGACUCAACGAUGGUGGUCAAGUGGAUUCGGGAUGAGGAUUAGAGGGUGAUGGCCACCCAUUGCUCAGAGAUAUCCACAGGAUAGUGAGAGAUUGCGUCUCAUUUCAGACUGCUCAUGUGUAUCGGGAGGUAAUAAAGCUGCAGAUUAGGUCGUCUUCUUCAUGGCUCACCACUCGGAAAAAGUCCUUUAGACAUGCUUUGUAGCCGCCCCUCCAUCUUUAUGCCAUGUUCUUUCCCUUGACUCUGUGGACAGCACUCACACUAGAGCAGUGUGAUCGGCCGUUGUACCCAAAAAAAUAAAUAUAGUUUCCCAAUUAGCAGCAAUUUGACGAUUGAGGCUUCCUAAACAAAAAUCAAACACUCAAGUCUUUGUUUCAGUAACAAUUUUAUUUAUUUUCAGUCUUUGCCUUGUGCAUGAAAGCAGAAUACAAGUCUAUAAAAUGGAAGUAAACACUAAAAGGCCUUAGCUCUGAUUGCUGAUUAAUCCAAGUCAAACAAGAGGGCUGCAAAGUGCAGCCAUGCCUCUGAAAUGCUUCACCCUCCCCUAUUUUGAAGUAAAGAACGGCAUUUAAUAAAGCUUUGUUCCAUCAAAGAAAAUGGUCAGCAAAACUAGUCCACGGAGAACAUUCGACCACAUGCUUGAGAGAGAGAGAGAGAGAGAGAGAGAGAGAGAGAAGAUUAGAGUUCAGACUCAAGACUGCUAGUUAAGCCAAGCCGACACCCCACCCCUAUUCCCACAAGUCAAAGUCACGAAGCAGGUGACAUCACCACUCAGAAAUCGCCACGUCACAAGAAUUGAUCGAGGAAGCUUCCUCGAACCUCAACCUCUUCCCGAAGAACCGCCCCAGACCUACUCAAGAGGAAGCUUCAAAAAUCCCACGUGACGUCCCUACGGCCCCUCGAUCUCAUUCCUUCGAAUGAUUGACGGCCAGGAUUUCAUCUAGAGUCAUCCCUUUUGACGCCACCCUCCUCUACAUAAACCAGGCCAACCUUUGGCUCCCCCUCCGGAGCCUCCACCAGUCCACCCAGCCAUGGCCACGAGCGACACCAGCGCAAGCCCGGCGGAGUGGGCUCAGAUCUACGGCCAGCACGGCUUAGGAUCCCCCGCGACCGCCACGCCGGCCAGGCUCAGCCGCGUGUCCGCCGUUGCCGACUCGACGGUGGUCACAACCACGUCGAGCCCGGCUGUCGCCGGAUCGAGCGGCAGCCCGACUUCGCACCAAGCUAUCGAGGGCCGGGUGGGGAAGUCGGCCCGCCGGCGAUCGAGGGCCUCCAGAAGGGCCCCGACGACGCUACUCAACACCGACACCACCAAUUUCCGUGCAAUGGUGCAGCAAUUCACCGGCAUCCCCUCGGGACCGUAUUCGUCUAGUUAUCAGCCUAGCAACCGGCCAAUGAUCAACUUCGGGCUUAAUUUUAAUGAUCCUCGUCGCCAAGCCACGGUGGUGCCCUUCGGGCACCUUCACCAGCAGCAGCAGCAGCAGCAGCAGCAGCAGCAGCAGCAGCAAUACCAAAGGCAAUCUUUCCAGCACCAACAUCAAGGACAGCACUACCAACCUCAGCAGCAGCAGCAGCAGCAGCAGCAGCAAUCAUAUGAUGGUGCCAUUUUUGAUGGUAGCCAUGAUAUUUUUCUUCAAGGUUUUAGCAACCCAAGGGCUAACAUGGAGGUGACUGAUGGCUUUUUCUUGGAUGGCAUGUCCAACCAACUGAUGCCAAGGACAAACUCCACUGACAGCAGAACUAAUGGGUUUUUCUCAUGAGGAAAAAGGUAAAGGAUUAGGGAGAGAAAGAGAGGUUAACUUUUGCUUUUGUGAGAGGGAGGAGAAAGAGAGAAGAAUGCAUUGACACAUGUAAAUAUUAUUAUGAUACAAUAUAUCUCUCUGUCUUGUGGUAAAUGGAAUCUUUCUAGAUUGUGUUAUUUUAAGUGGCCAAACUUUUUCUUCUUUUAAAACGUGCUUCGAGGGAUGGAGUGGAGAAGGGGACAUAAAUCGAUGGAGAGGAUUGUGGAAUCCGCGAGUGGCUCUCCCCAUUCUAGGGUCAACUUCAUGCUGACUAGGCUUCAUUUGAAUAGGUCUUUGGGCGUUGAUGGGACAAAUUGUUAUUUCUUUCUUUCAGUAAAGAGAUUAGAAUUUUCUUUAGAGAUUAAACUCAUGCACAGAAUUACGCAUCGUACUGUACUUGUAGUGGACUGGCCUGACAACAGUUUUGUCCAAACACGUGGUUUUUGACUUCAUGUGAUGCAAUUUUGCCUUCCUGCGAGCUGCAAAAUUUGCUCUCUGAAAAGGAGCAUGAGUAGCCUUCUAAUGGCUGGUGUUCAGAGAGGUAGAUUGGCCAAAGCAUGUGUUCCAAAGUGAAGGUGUUCUCGUCAUAGGUCACUCACAAAGUCCCACUCAUAUUCAUAAAAUUUUGUCUAUUAAAUGGGUGAAGUAUUUUUACUUUCAAAGAAUGAGAUCAUUGGACCAAAAAAAAGAAUGAGACCACCAGUUCAAACAUCUUCUUCGAACGGAUUCCAUGCUUACAAUAACCAGAAGUCUGAGCUAAGUUUGACCCAAGUCUAGUCUAAUGCCAUCCUCUUCUUCCUACUCUUUAAUUCCUCUUUUCAAUUCUUUUUCAGUGAUGGCUCAUAUAUAUUAUGAUGUAUUAUUGUUCCUGUUCUCUCAAAAAAUUUGUCCAUAAUUCUUGUUUCCAGAAUUUCCAUCUCUUGCAUUUCCAUUUUACCAAGGGGAAAACUUUUGCAAGAUUUUCCAGAAACCCCACUCUUGGGAUCCUGAAGAAUGUUAGGUGUCCUCAUAUGAAGCUUGCAUGCGAGUCCUACUUAUCCAUUUGCUUGACAUGCGAAUUCAGCAUAAAGAAGAAUGCUUAAGACUCUUGGCACACAAAUUGGCGAGAGGAAGUUGUUUGUAGAUAUAUAUGAAGAUUCUUCUAGCUUGCCAUGCCUAGUUCAUCAUCUUGCCUAUUCAUGAGCUUCCUUUGGAUCAAUUUUGGGAACCCUUCAUUCUUGUUGCUUUGCUCUGGUGAAGCUUAUGGAAGACUCCACAUUAACAGCACACAGAGGACUUCACCUAGAAACUAAUAGGCCUUGGCUAAGUUUUACCAUUUGUUGUGGAUAACCAUAUAGCUCAAAUUAUAAAUAUACACAAAACUCACCACCAAGAGGUCAUGCUAACUGAGCUUGUCUUUCAAAUAUCUCGAGUUGUUUUAUGGUAUCUGUGAGGAUCCGUGCGAGCGUGUAUUUAGUUCCACAUCGGUUAUUCGCUGGAUAGAUCUUGAUACUUAUAUAAGAUCAAGGAACCCAAAUAAUACCUUCCGGCUAGCCAUUUUGGGUGAGGUCCUGAGUUGUUACAAAUGGUAUCAGAGCGGAACCGGCCCAUAACCUAUGUGGACUAGGGGACACUGCAACACGUAUCCAUCGGGGCUGACCACGGGCCAAUCGUGGUGUUUGUGAUUAGAUUUGAACAUUUAGCCUGACGAGGACGUCAGGACUUAAACGGAGGGAGUAUGUGAGGAUCUGUGUGGACGUGUGUUUAGUUCUACAUCGGUUAUUCGCUGGGUAGAUCUUGGGUACCUAUACAGGAUCAAGGACCCAAAUAAUACCUUCCNNNNNNNNNNNNNNNNNNNNNNNNNNNNNNNNNNNNNNNNNNNNNNNNNNNUGGUAUCAGAGCGGAUACAACCCAUAACCUAUGUAGACUAGGGGACACUGCAGCACGGAUCCAUUGGGGCUGACCAUGAGCCAAUCGUAGUGUUUGUGAUUAGAUUUGAAUAGAUUUGAACCCUUAGCCUGACGAGGACGUCAGGGCUUGAACAGGGGGAGUAUGUGAGGAUCCGUGCGGGCGUGUGUUUAGUCCCCCAUCGGUUAUUCGCUGGAUAGAUCUUGGGUACUUAUACAGGAUUAAGGAACCCAAAUAAUACCUUCCGGCUAGCCAUUUUGGGUGAGGUCCUGAGUUGUUAUAGUAUCAGAGCAAGUCAAUCAGAACAUGCCAUUCUGUUUUCCCGACAAGGCUAGCUCGUAUUGCCUCUGAUGCUGCCUUGUCUCCUAUUGGUGCUAUUUUGGCUGCUGGAGUUUCUGCUACAGAGGGUGUCAUUACUCCAAUUUCUGGUUUGAAUCAACUUCCUUGAAGCCUGAUUGCCAUAACUAUUUGUUGUGGCAUUCUCUACUUGUGCCAUUUCUCACGACCUGCUAGUUUAUGCCCAAUCCAGCCUUUUCUCCCUCAGAGAGACAAGACAAGUUGAUGCUAAGCUGGUUGUUAUCUUCCCUUACUGAAGGCGUUCUUUCCCAAGUUGUGGAAUUGCAAACUUCUCAAACUGUUCGGGCAUAAUUUAGGAGAUAUUAGGCUCAAUCUCGAGCUGGUUCCAUGCAACUCGAGUUUCAAUUGCAGAAUCACAAAAAGGAAGGGCUUUCCAUGCGUGAUUAUCUUCAUAAAGUCUAGACCUUGCUUGAUAGUCUUGUAGCCUGAUGAGAACUUGAUGAAUAUCAUCCUCAUUGAUUUAGGACUGGAAUAUGAAUCAUUGAUGACCUCAAUCAACACUCAUGCUGACCCAAUUUCUCUUGAUGAUUUUUAUGUCUAUCAUUAAAACCAGAAGGAUCAUGUUGAGCUCCUCCUCCCUGCUUUUCAUAAUGAAUGGUUUCUCGACUCCGGAGCUACGAACCAUGUGACACCAGACCUUCAUAGCACAGAUCAAGUCAAAGUUGGAAUGACCAAAGGUCUUUCUAUAUCUCAUUGGAUCCUCUACUUUACACACUUCUUAUGGUUCUUUUCUUUUAAAUAACCUUUAGCCAUGAUAAUAAUGUUUACUUUGUGUUUCGCUCGGUUUGUUUUAUAAAGGACUGUUGGUCGGAGAAGAAUCUACUCUAAGGUUUUGCUUAAGGUCUGAGCCUGCCUGUUUUUAUUGGCGAAAAGGCUUCUCCUUAGAUUGUUGGUAUCAACUCUUGGGCCAUGCUAUGUUGAGGACUGUCAGACAAGUUAUUCCAAAAAAUAAAUUGCCAUUGCCUUCCACCCAGUCUUCUGCUCUCUGCGAAGAAUGCCAACUUCGUAAAAGUCAUAAAUUACCUUUUGUUUCAUCUUUACCGGACCAUUAGACAUUGUUUCUAGUGUUUGGGGACCUGCACCAGUUCUAUCUUCUGCUAGCAAUUGUUAUUAUGUUCAGUUUGUUGAUCAUUUUAAUAAGUUCUUAUUACAUCAGUUCGAAAAUCUGAUGUUUUCGCUGUCUUAUAUAAAUUUCAAAAUUCAUAUGGAGAACGUUUCUAAUGCAAAAAUCAUAUAUCUACAAUGUGAUUGUGGAGGUGAGUAUGACAAGUUGUCUGUGCUUUUGCAAGCUCUUCUAUCAUUUAUUGUAAGUGGAUAUACAAAAUUGAGCAGUGUUCUAAUGCCCAAACUGAGUGGUACAAAGCUCGAAGGAAUUGACUAUACCGACACAUUCAUCCCUGUUGUCAAACAAACUACAAUCCGGAUAUUUCUUACCCUUGCCAUCUCCAAUGAUCGGUCUCUUCUUUUCAGUAAGAAAAUAAAGUGGAUGCAUAAUCUCUUGUAAUCCUUUGAAAUGCACAUUCUGCUUUAAAGAGUGCUUACAUGUUUCCUACUUCAUUCCCUUAAUGAAGAUAGCUGGAGCUUUUGCUCUUCCUUUUUCCCUCAAAAAAAAAAAAAAAAAUAGAUUCAUGGAUCACCCCACACCAUAUACAUCUAGAAGCAAACUAGAAUCCAUAGCCUCAAGCUACUAGGCUUCAUAUGAUCAUUCAGGGUAUGCAUUGAUGACCAUAUAGGUUCAUCUUAAAUAAUCUAAUAUGCUCAAACUCUACUAAGUAAAAGCAUAUAAGCCACAAUUCAUAUGGCAAAUAAUAUCAUGCUAUCCUAUUUUACAAUGAAUCCAAUCAUCUUUGUUAGCUUUACAGGUCAUCAUAACACUUCAGUGAAAAACACCAAAAGAAUCAAGCAGAGCAGCAUCCUAACCCUGAAACAUUUUGAAGCCCCAGAUAGCUCGUAAACAAACUACUAACUAGGUGAUCAGAGAAAUUGAUCGAAGGCAUGAAUAACUUAAUCCAUGAAAAGCACUAUAACAGUAAUAUACAUGGAAAACUUCCUCCUUCUCAAACAGAGUAAUAAGCUUGGUUCCAAAAAGAAAUAGAAUAAAAAUCAAUAAUGUGAUUCAAACAGAAUUGUUUGAUACACAACUUUUCACCAACACCUUGCAUUGACGACCAUAUAACUUCUAGUUAGUCAAUAUAUGUUGUUCAUCUGCGUAUUUGUUUAAACAACCUUUACAUGUCCUGGUAAUUAUCUCGGGAAAUGAGAUCAAAUGACCCAUGGCUCCUCACGAACUUCUGAUCCAUUGUCAUUUGAAAUCAAACAGACGAAGAGUUUGCACGCCUACCUCAUGCAAUAAACUAUUUGUCUUCAAAACUCAAAUGCUUCAUACACCAAUGAAUUUUGCCAAUCCAUACAUACGCACACAUAUAUACAUUUACUUAUGUAUGGACAUAUGCAUGUAUUCGCUCGAGCAUGUGCAGUCACACACACACACACAGAGAGAGAGAGAGAGAGAGAGAGAGAGAGAGAGAGAGAGAGAGAGAGAGAGAGNNNNNNNNNNNNNNNNNNNNGAGAGAGAGAGAUGAACAAGUAAAGACUUCCACUCUCCUGUAAAUAAAAAUCGAUAUGAAGGUUUAUUGAAGAUAGGCACUUAGAUAUGAUUUCAAACAAUAGUUCCAUUAGAAGGAGGAGAUCUAGUUAAAAGGUUGCAACCAUUGGUCUCCAUCGAUGUAAGAAGCAUUGAGGAAGGGUAAAGCUUGUGCAUCACUGAGCUUUUGAACAUAUGGUGCCCUCAUGCUUUGAUUUGCACCAGGCCCGCUACACUUGUAUUCUCCAUAAAAUAAAGUCCUGUCGCCAGAAAGCAAUAAAAAAACAAAAACUCAUGACCUCACUUUGUAGAACUCCAUCUAGUUUCUGUAGUUGAAAACUAAAAAACAAAACAAGAACAAAACAGUUUUUAAUGUAUACUAACUUAUGCAAGAGGAGAAACUAGGUUUUUAUCCUUACUGAUCUCUAGCAGGGUCAUUGAAAUCAUUCCAGCCUUCUGGAGAAAUGAUGUCAGUCAUGAAAGUGUUUAUGAAGACGACACGAGAGUAGGGCCUCCAAGCUCGGCCUAACCAAAUUCGUCCAGUUCCACCAAUGGUACAGUUGACAAAGGAAAAGCCAGUGUUCUCAUCACCUGAUGCUCGACCAUGCGCGGUCACUGCUCCAUUUAUUACCUUCAAUCCAGCAGGCACUGGGGAGGCUAUUGAAAUCAUUUCGCAACUCUGAAACACAUGGAUAUAGCAGGAGGUUGGACAUGUUAUUUCUUUUUGAAAAGAAGAAUGGACAUGUUUUUUUCUUAAACACUAUUUAUUGUGGGAAAAAAGUGGCUUCCUUUCCAUAUUUUUACACUAUGAAUGGACUAGAGAGGAAAAUUAGAUAGAUAUAUAUUCCCUUAAUCUACAUCUGUGAGUCCUUAGAUUUGUUCCUUGCUAUCUAAGGAGCAAGCAUAACGUCAAAAAAUGAAGGCUAAUUACUUUCUUCUCAAUGUAUUUGGAGAACCAUAGAACAUACAUGAGGCACUGUUAGAGCAUGAACUGGAUUGAUUCUAACAGUCAGCUGUGUCUUUUUUGAUUCCAAAGCUAUUGCAUCCAGUGAGGAAAGUGAAGCCAGCUGCAUCUUUAUUCUAAGUGCACCAUAUACCGAUUAUCUUAUCCAUCGCAUCCUUCAUGUACAGAUGAUGGUUUUCCAGAGGAUCAUGACAAGAAAUAGUCUGUCUCAAUGAGACAAAUUAUUCAGGCCUUAACCAAACCCAAACCUCACCUAUAUUAAUGAGCUUAAAUGGCAUAUAGUCCUGAAACUCUAAACUGAGACAAUGAGCUAAAAAGGGAGGCGGCUAAAAGGAGCCACCUGGCUUUUAUUAAAAUAGAUAAAAGAAACUACAACUUGGAAUAGAGAACAAGAUCAGUUAGAAAGAAAUAGGAAAGAAUAUUGGAAUCCAAAUGAAAAAUCAGACAAUUGGAAGACAGUUAGGAAUAUCCUUGAUUUUUCUCCAAAUUCUGCUGAAAGCUGGUAGCUUUUUAUUUCAUUACAAAGUAUAGACCAUUCGUUGAAAUUAUGAAGACCAGCAUAAGCAAUAGAAGUGAAUUAACCAACAAUGUUCUAUUUUCAUGAGAAUUUGGCCUCCAUAUAUGUGUUUGAUGUUGAGAUUAUCAAAGCUCUCUCUAAAAGGGGAAAAAUACAACCUUUUCCAAUGGACUUCUCUGUUCAAAUACAUCAUAGUGCUUGGUUUGAUUUUUUUUUUUUUUUUUUUUAAAAGCAAGGCCAUGGUGUUGCAAGGUGUAUUCUUACAGAGUUCUAUCCAUUAUAACUACAAGUUCAAUAGCUAAGUAGACGAUACUUUCUUAUUAUUUACAUAUCCAAUUCAGUGAUUAGGCUUUGCCUAAUAUUUCCUUAAAAAAAAGCCUAUAUGUCCAAAUUUACAAUCAGGUGCACUAGUCCUAAAGCCAGGCCAGCUUACUUUAUGGACAACCGAACUGUAAUAUCCACCAGUACCCAUCUUCAGAACCAAGUUUUUGUCAUGUUAUACUCUAGUAUUUAGAGAUCAUGCAUGAAACCAGGCAAUAAACAAAUUAUAAGUGCAUGGAUGGAGAAGGUACUUACCUCAUACAAAGACCUAGCAUCUCCAAAGAUGAAAUCAAUGGAACCUUGGAUGUAGCACUCCUUGAAGUAAUGCCUCCCCCUGUCAUCAUGAAGGGUAUCCUGCGCUCCGAAGAACCCGCAACCCCAGAACGCAGAUUGAUCACCACCAACCCUAAUUGCCACUGCCUGGGCUCCAACAUCCCCAGGACUUGGUAUUGGAGCCACAUUCUAGGAUUUAAAGGCAUUGAGAAAUUAGCUACUUGUAAUGUUGAGUUGUUUAGCAAUUUGAACUGCAUGUGUUUCAUUUGUAUUACUAUGAAACUUAUGUUCUUGGCGAUGAAGUUGGUGCCAAAAGUGGAGACUGAAGCACUAUUAAACGUGCCAUGCGCAGAGUUGGCAGUGUCAUUCCAAGCUAUCGCCGUUGAAUACAAUCCUUGCCCUUGAAAUGUAAUGCUGGAUUUGGUCCUUGGAAUAGUUACCUUCUCACUAAUAUCAACAGAACACAUUGUUACUAUAAUGUGCAUGUAAGAGAUAAGAAAACUUGUUGCUAGCUUACUAGUAUAUCCCCUUGUUGAUCCAAAUAACAGUCCUUUUCUGGCUAAAGUUUCCAACUGCAUCUACUGCAGAUUGUACUGUAGUGAAGUUGCAGCACCCAUUGCGGUCAACACACAGAAUCGAGGUCGUGUUUGUGUCGGGUGGGGGGAAGCCUGGCGGGAAGUCGUCGCAUAUCGUUGUAUUGGAUUUUGGAUACUUGUGGUGGUGGUGGUGGUCUGGUUUUUGGGUGCAGAAUGAAAUAAGAUAUGGAAAGAAGGAUGGUGUGAGGAGGUCAAGGUUGAGGAGGCAUUUGAGACAUGGUGGAUAUUGGAAUAUGAGUUGUGUUGAGAGCAGACCUACAAUGAUGGAAGAUAGUAGGGUGAGGGAAGUUCUCUUGGGGCUCAUGGUGGAGUGGUGGACGGGAGGGAAGAGGAGGGAUGGGUGGUUUUAGAAGGAGGUGAUGGUUCCUGUAGAGAAGCAUGGGUGGGGGCUUUGCAAUGCACUUGAAGCACAAGGCUAAAUAGCAUGCCUUGCAAACCACCAUUUUCUUGAGUUUGGGAUGUCAGCCAACCUACCAAGCUUACCAAAUUUUUCAUGGAACAAAAAAUAACGCAAAGUCCCAAUCCUGGCAUGGAUGUUGCUUGAGAUAUUGAGUCCUCUCCGACGAGAGUGACCAGUAAACAAGAGGGUCAGAGUUAGGAGAUAAGGGGGUUUCAUGCAGCGACCUCAUAUUGUUAGGAGACUGCAUGGUGGAUCAGAAAGGGAAAAGGUCUAAUGCUAACUCUGCAUCAAUACGUCCAAAGUUAAAUGCAAGCCCCUAGCUAGUACUGUGAUCUUGUAGUUUUCCUUAUUGAUCAGGUGACUGAUAUCUCACUUAUCCUUAGACUUUUUACUAUCUAUGCCUUCAUCAUAUUCCAAGCUUGAAGUUAUUACAAAGUCUCUUCACUAAGUUAUAUAUCAUUACUCCUAGAAGAUUGAACAAGGACUCGACAAUGACAAGAUAUUAAGUGAAUAUUUGUCGAGUUUGUUGAAAUGUUCUUUGAUCUAACAAAUGAGUUAUUUCAAGUGAUGACUUGCAGGUCAUUAGAUCACAGAGGGUGCUACAAAAACUUUGUUGGGUCAGUGGUACCCUUUAGAAGGAAUAUGAGAUAAAUAAAAUAUCAUAAAAAAGGGUAGUCCCUAAAUAUGGUAGGGAAGGAAGCAGGAGUAACCCAACCGGAAAGAAAGUAUAUUAAAAAAAAAAGGAGAUAUCAAUGUAACAUGAAACCUAUUCUUAGGUAAACCUAAAAUUUAAUAGCAAAGAAGGAGGCUGAAUGAAUAGAUGAUAGCAUUUGUUGGGCAUCUUAGAAUGUACUUAACUUGGUUUCCCAGCUGAUGAAGUCAUGUGGUAGUUUGUGUGAAACCUAAAAUCAGAAACAGUUGUAAGGAAGAUUACUGGUUUGAAACAGAUUGGAGAGCUCCUUCGUGUGUGUGUGUGUCUAUAUAUAUAUAUAUAUACCUACCUCUUUUUUUGAGUUUUGCAUUAGUUCAUUUUUUUUAAGAACAUCCAUUUUUAAAAUGUCAAUGUCAGAGAUUUCUCCUUGUGUCUGUAAUCUAUUUACUAAUCAGAAAUAUUUCAUAUAAUACCGAAGCAAAACUCUUUUUUUUUCCUUUGAGAAGAAAAUAGACAAUGGUCAUCGAUAAUUUAUUGUGAUUAUGAAUUAUGGGGAAGGCUAGAGCUGAACCAAGAUCUUUUGUUUCCAACACCAAAAAAUUUUAUCAACUUAACUUAAUAUCAAGACUGAUCUUGUCUCUGUAAAACGUGUCCUCUAUUCCUUUAAUGAAGAAUCUACUGACCAUCUGUUUUCUAACUACAUGCAUGCUCCACAAGUUUGUGCUGCCGUUUUAUCUAAAGAAUUUGACAUCAUGUCACUGUUUUUAUACAGCAUAUUGGUUGGGGCAUUUGGUUAUCAAGGAACCAUAGAUUCUUUAAAACUCCUCUAAUGUUGUCAGCUAAGUGGUAGAAUUUUGUUUUUUUCUGAAGACUAGCCAAAAGCCAAGAGCCAACUCCUGUCUUGCCAAGUUGAAGAUUUUCUCUACUGCUUUAUGGUUGAAUCUUUCCUUUUUGUCAUUUUUCCUUCUACCUUUCUCUUCUUUUAAUUCCUCUUCUCUCUUGUCCUCGUAUCCCUUUUCUGUACUCUCUGUUGGUUAUGACUUUCAUACUUCUAACAAGUAAUUAGGCUUUGACCUAAUCUUUCUCAAAAAAAAAAAGAAAAAAAAAACUCUGCAAAAGAGUUUAAGAGAACUUACUAAGAUCAAUUUAUUAUAUAACCAAAAACUAGUAUCAAUUAAUGGAAACUUGUAAUCAUAUAUUGUAAUCUUGAGCUAAUUUCAAUAAAGAUGAGGUGCUUAAAAUUAAUUCUUAAAAUUGGUCCAUCAUGAUAUGUCCCUUAAUAAGUUAAGGCUUAGGAAUUUCAAAUUUCAAUAGUCUUGUUUUUGUUUUUGCUGUUUAUAUCUUGUCAUUUUGUCAACCUAAUACUUGAGCGUAUUUAGACCUUCUGAUGAACAUCAUUAAUUAUUAGACUAACAACCUACAGAAGAGAAUUACGUAAUUCUACUAACCAACACGGUAUUUUUUCACUUCCUAAAUGGACAAGAGAUAAUGAUCUGAUGAUUACAUGUUUCUUCAAUUGAUCAGGUAAAAGUAGACAUCUCCAUUUACUUCAUUUGCAUGCAAUUUAGCUGGUAAAUUCAACAUCGAUUAUGGAUUCAUGCGACGCAAAAGUUGUGGAGAGUAGAAUGGAGAAGGAAGCAAGAGUGCAAUUGGGAGAUUCCAGAAUCCCAUAAUUUCAUGAAAGCAGGGACGCCAGACUCCUUUUAUUUUCCACCUUUUUUUGUUUUGUUUUGGGUGACUGCAAACUUUUUCCAAGAAGGAUACUCCACAGACAGGAAAUGUCGGUAUCCAAAGAGGCCCUAACAUAAAUGCAGAUGCUGUUCUUUGAUUUGCAUACAACUGAAUAUGGAGCAUGGACAUAUUUCUACUCUUAUAAAGCUUGCUACUUCUUCGGUGUCUUUAGCCCAACCAUGGCACAUGAGUUUCACAUAUAGUUCUUUCAGUCAAAGACAUCUUAAGUUUGUCCAACUUCUGCUUUACUAGGAGGAUUAGUAGGAGUGCAUCACGUUAAGCCUACAAGUCUAGAUGGAAUGGAAAUCAGACAUCAGUGCUUCGGAUCACAGAUAUCCAAAGUUCCCCUCCCAUGCAUCACAUAUACCUUGAACUUAUGUUUUCGCCGGCAGUGAGUCCUCCAGGGUGUGGGGCUGUCCCGAUUCCUUUUCAUGAUAUUCUAUUUACUUUAUGGAAUGCAUCCAUACUAGAUAUAUAUGAACCAUCCAUCACCAACCAAAAAAAAAAACAUGUUUCCAUGGGAGUCCAUAAUUCCACAUCUGUAUCCACCAAAAGGCAUAAAAGAGUCGAUCCAGAUGUCCCAACCCAAUCUGAGAUUGAUCUUAUACUCCUUCCAAAAUUGAUAUUAUUGUUCUUGUAGUAGCUGACAUCUGUGCACAAGGGAGUAUCAAGAGGAAAGCCUUCCAUAAGUAUACAAGGGAUCAUCCAGGAGGGACCUUGCAUGGAGAAAAUGUUGCACAGAUAAAUAUUAGGAUAGCGAAAUGCUCGCAAAAAUUGCAAGGCACGCUGCUGGAACCUUGCUUCACCUCCCAGACUUUGCAUAUACUGAAAGCAAAUUAUUGGUGCAAGAAGAAUCCCAUCAGCUUGUUGAACUAGACAUAAAAAUUUCUAUUGGAGACUUCUUAUGAACUAAGCAAGCUGGUUGACAAUAUUCUUCUCUUCAAUGAAGAGAGAGAGAGAGAGAAUGUAAUCUAAAGGUCUACAAUAUUACUCUCUUCAGUGAAAACAAACACAAAGAAACCUGAACAAGCUGAGGACCACUUACCAUUAAAGAUGAUCAACAUGUGCCUAAUUAGCAGUAAUAGAAUGGAUCUUACCCGUGCUUAGAAUAAGGUUACAAGGCACUCCAAUAAUGGCCUGCAAUUUUUUACUUGACACACUCACCAUGGCCUCUGAGGUGAAACUAUGACAGAUUGACACACAGGGCUUAAUGAUAGCUGUCAGCAUGCAACAUUGCAAAAGACUGCUCAUACUAAUACACUGCAAGCAGCUGCGAGGCUCACAACAACAACAAAAAUCUCAUCUUCUGAACCAUGCAACAGUCCCAAAAAAGCUUUGCUUGUAUCUUUUCAUAAGUAGAAUUUGUAUUGGGUGGAAAUCCAAAAAGUUUACUGUUUAAACAGUGAGUUUCAUCAUUCAGAAUGAGAAACACAGAACCAGCAUUACAGCGAGUUUUAAAAGAGAUAAAAGAGAAGGUCAAAUGGCAUUAGUUCAAUCCAACAGCUCUACUCAAAACUGAAUCUACUUCAACCAAAUGCAAUCUGUAAGAAAAUGAUGUUAAAAACUUCAGACUGCAGCAAAGGCCUUCUUCCCACCCCCUUUUGAUCCAGCUGGAAUAACUUUCAGAACAUUGAACCUCACAGUCUUGGACAAUGGCCUGAAAGACAAGGUGAUUCAUAUGAUAUAGGAUACAGUGAUUGUGAAGCAAUGUGCAAAAUGAAGUGAGCUUUAUAAGAGCCAUAUUAUAGACAAUUUAACUAAACUAACCCUAUCAUAUAAAUAAAACAAAACAUAUUCACUUAGUACCAUAGCUGAACUCAAAGUAAAUGAAGUAAGGUCAUUUAAAACCUUAAAAGCAUUAUGGUUGGUAGAUCACAGGGCAUACCUGCACUGGCCAAUGAUAACAUGGUCCCCUUCCUUCACACGGAAGCAUGGGGAUACGUGUGCUGCGAUAUUGGAAUGCCUCUUCUCAUACCUGGCAGACAAAAUAGUCAUUUCAUUAUCAUAUGGCGAAAUAACUUGUUUGGAAAACACCAAAACAUUUAAAAAAACUGCCAAUUGGAUUACCUCUGAUACUUCUUCACAUAGUGGAGGUAAUUUCUACGGACGAUGAUAGUUCUGUUCAUCUUUGCACUAUGGCAUGUGCCAGCUAAAAUGCGACCCCUAAUAGAUACAGUGCCAGUGAAUGGGCAUUUCUUAUCAAUGUAUGUUCCUACACGAAAAAAAAACAUAAAUGUUAAACUAGGGAUCUCUAUUUUGCAUGAGGUACCAUAGUCAAGGAUAAUUGGUGUACCCGACAGCUUAUUACACAAUAAUGUGAGUAGGACAAUAGACUAGAAGACUGUAGGCGAUCCUCCUGUGGGCCUAUCUGGCCCAAAAAUCCAAUUAAAAAGUAACUUAUCUGAAAAAUGCUUAACCAGCAUUUAUGACCUUUCUAGAUUUUAUACAGCAUCCAUGUCUAAUUAAGUUACCAAGUAACCUGUAGAAUAUAGAUCAGAAAUGAAGUCUCCAUCUCAUUUUUUUUUAUCAAUACAUCUUUUAAAGAAACAUUGUAAGACCAGUAGCUCUACCCAACUGCUCUUGCUUCUUAUUAAGGAUUUUAAUGAAGAUAAAAUUAAUAGAAGAUGUGGAAACCCAAAUAAUGAAACAAACUAUUCAUAUAGACAUAACCACACGACUCCAGGUCUAAGAUAAUGCUUCCUUGUUAGAAGUUAAACAAGUGAGUAGUAAUUUAAUUCUAUAUCAUCCUAUGACAAUAUAUAUAUAUAUAACUGAGAAAACAAAAGAAAUGUACCUCUUAUUCCUAGGAUGACAGAAAUAUUUGUAAAUCACAUAUGUACAUAGAAAAAUACUAAUAGACAAAAAGGUAGAUGUUGUGUAUGAGGCAACAUGUGAAGAAAACAAAACAAAAUGAAAAAGAUGCAUGUUCUACCGUUAUCUAUUCUACUAUUAAAAGGAAACUCCAACAAUGCCUCUGUACAUGAGGCUUUGCUCCAUGUGUCUCCAAUAUCCAUUUCCCAAAAUACCCUUUCAUACACACGUGUUUCCUACCCACAUGUUUCCCAGCAUCGCAUAUCAUGUGCGGCAGUAGCACAGACGUAAUAAUUUCUUUGUGAAGAAAGGAAACUUCCUAAGGUGCAUGCAAUAGGAUACAGCUACAUUAUAAAGAAAACCUAAUAGAUGAACCACUGAAGGACAGGAUCAACAAUCAUGUAAAACAGAAAGCAAAAACAGCAGAAUGGAAGUCAUGCAGAAGGAAUUGAGGCAAACUGAUACACAUAACCUUUGACAUGAUUGAGUGGAGAAGCAAUGGCUACACUUCAAUAAGCCAACUAGGAUAUGCAUGAUCAUUGGUUGAUGUUAAUUGUCAUAGUUCCCAAUGUAACAUGAGAUAUGCCAAUGAUUUAAUGAUAAUGCGUCCUAAAGUAAAGAUGAGGUAUGCCAUUGAUAUCUGGUUCAAAAUGUUCGUCAAUAAAGAGAGCCCAACAAAACAAGCUAAAUGUACCAGAAAUGAAUUAGAGAAGAUGAAGGAGUUGCACCAAUUAAAGACAAGGUGAUGGAGAACCAGUUGAGAUGGUAUGGCCAUGCACAGCAAAGAUUCAAGAAGGAACCAAUAAGAAGAGGUAGUGUAAUCUUUGUCAAAGAAUCUAGUCAACACAGACCUAUAAUGACAUGGACAGGUGAAUGUGAAAACAAAAAGAGUUCGCAAAUGAAGGCUCGAGAGGUGAGGAUCUUGCAAAUCAAGCAUAGGUAACAUGGUUGACUUAAGAUCCAAGGACCUGCAAGAUCCAUAUGCAGCGUAUCAAGAUUGAUCCAAUUACAGUUGUGUUUAUGGAGUUGUAUGCUUCUAUGCAAAGAUUAGUGGCAUGAACCAAGUGCAGAAGCAUCCUCACUUGGCAUGCCUUGAGAUGACAUUAAUAACUGCCAACUAGUCAAUAAUCACAUGGCACUGUUGUCACUAAGGUCCAUUGGGUCAACUUGCCAUCUCUUCAAAAUCAUAAGAAACCAAUCACAGAAAAGAAAUCAAACCACUGAAAAAAUGAGAGCAUAAACAGUACAACGAGAUAGUUGAGGAAAAGAAAAGGCUAGUUUAACCUUCAAACCAAGAAUAGCAUGAGAAAGUUCUCCAUGGUGUAGCACCUCAUGAUCUUCAACUUAAGAAAACAAAAAAUGGUUGAGAUAUAUGACAGGCUUAAAGGCAAAAAAAAGCACCAUUGUAUGCAUAUUUUCAGUUGGUUGCUUGUGGUAUAAAACCUCAUUUUCAUCUACUUAUGGAAAAUAAAUACUUAAGUUUUGUAUCUUUAUCAUCAAAGAUUGCUGUAGAUGGGAACCUCCAAUCAAAAAGAAAAAGAAAGAAAAAGAUUCAUUGCACUGAGACAUAAAACAAGAACGUUGGCACUUACUACUUACGAAAUGCAAAUGACAUACACCAAAAUGCUUGUUCAGGAUAAAUUAAGAAAUCCAUAAAAAGAAUAGGUUAGGAUGUCAGACCUUCAAUAGCUUCCCUAGGAGUCUUGAAUCCAAGACCAAUGCUCUUCCAGAAGCGGUUCCCGCCCUUACCAGGUCUCUUUCCCUUACCAGAUUUCUUCGAGCUACAGCAUCCCCAACACUUGUCAAAGAAAGCUUACAUAUAGAAUUGUAAAGAGAGGGCAAGGCGAAAGAAAAAGUUUCUUACCAAAGGAAAACCUUUGGCUGCUUAAGGAAUGCCCUCUCAGUCUGCAUUUAAAAUUCAUGGAUGCAAAGCAUUAAAACUCCAAAAAAAUAUAUUGUAAAACCUAAUUACUUUCAUGGAUCUAUAUGCUUGAGUUGCCCACACAUCAGAUGAAAAGAAUAGCCAUGAAACAAUAGCAGUAUGAUCUUCUCCAUGGAAAAGUAGAUAAGGUUAAACCAUCGAAGAGAAGAGGGAUGAAAGAGAAUUUUUAUUAAAAAAAAAUCUUCAUUACCUAUAGCAGGAUGAAAUAAAUAAUAUACUUAGGGCAAAAGAUUUAAGGUCUAAAACAAAGUUAGGAGCAGAUAGACUAAGGUUUUAAUAGGGAAAAUUUGUUACAUGCCAAACAGCCGCCACAACCAACUCCUUGGACAUUUAGACAUUAGAUUUAUAAACUUUUAUAUAAUAUCGGAAGCACAUCAGUCUGUGUGGUCAUUAACCACAUCAACGAAGAUGUCCUUUGGAGAAAAACAGAUUGUAUGUUAAUUGUGAUAAAACCAAUGUUUGAAAGACUGUAGCCAGUGGAUGAAAGGUCAGGACCAUCACACAACAGCAUGUUUGGCAGGUGGCAAUAUGUACCCAAAACAAAAAUAAUAAACUUAGAAAACUUAUAGGUAUAGGGAGAAAUCUAGAAAAGUUAGUCCAAAACACGAAACAUAAUAUAUCAAAUAAGUCAUGGGAAGUCAAGGGAAAGUACCAAGUACCAACUUGGCGACAUUUGAUAAUACCACCAUAAAUUGAUUAGGUGGCAUUCUUUUCCAAAGCACUGGAUCAGAACAGCUAUUGUCGUCAAACGUUUUGAAUUUUACAAGAAUUAGCAUACAAGAGAAAGAUUUGUUUUUUCUCUUUGCAUCAGGAAACAAAUAUUACCUCCCAUCUACACUAUAUGAAUCAUAUACUCUCAAUUGCAUAAAAAUUGAGUCUGCUGAUAAUUUUUUUUCGCAUGUAAAGCCCCCAAUCAACUACCUUGAUGAAAAACUACAAAGAGGAUAUAAACAUAAUGCAAGCAAGAAGCAGAAUUAUUUCCGUGAAUUGAAGAAAACAAUCAGGGAGUCUAUUUAAUUCAAACUAUAUCUAAAACCUAAACCAGGCGCACCCCAAACAUGAGAAAUCUUAAAGAUUCAAACUUUCUUAGUAAUUAAUCGGUUUCCAGAAUACCUA